CCCUUGGAUGUUCUGGGCCGCACGCGCGCUACACUGAUGCAUUCAACGAGUCUAAAACCUGGUCUGAUAGGGCUGGGUAAUCUUUUGAAUGUGCAUCGUGAUUGGGAUAGAUGAUUGCAAUUCUUCAUCUUCAACGAGGAAUGCCUAGUAAACGCAAGUCAUCAGCUUGCAUUGAUUACGUCCCUGCCCUUUGUACACACCGCCCGUCGCUCCUACCGAUUGAAUGUUCCGAUGAAUACCAUGGACUGAGAGUAUGAAUGGGUUCGCCUAUUUCUGCUUCUCGGGGAGUGGAGUAAAUCUUAACAUUUAGAGGAAGGAGAAGUCGUAACA
This 330-nucleotide ribosomal RNA is filed under the name uncultured eukaryote. RNAcentral's name for it is "partial 18S ribosomal RNA". It matches the Rfam family "Eukaryotic small subunit ribosomal RNA", at positions 1470 to 1796 of the family's 1831-position model. The record is from RNAcentral.